Molecule: transfer RNA, 67 nt
Filed under: Blattella germanica (German cockroach)
Lineage: Eukaryota; Metazoa; Arthropoda; Insecta; Blattodea; Blattellidae
Description: tRNA-Leu
Rfam family: tRNA
About the family: Transfer RNA (tRNA) molecules are approximately 80 nucleotides in length. Their secondary structure includes four short double-helical elements and three loops (D, anti-codon, and T loops).
Source: RNAcentral
ACUAUUUUGGCAGAUAAGUGCAGUGGAUUUAGAAUCUAUAAAUAUAGAUAUUAUUCUAUAAAUAGUA